GGGCGCUUGGCGCAGUUGGUUAGCGCGUCUCAGUGACAUUGAGAAGGUCAGAGGUUCAAAUCCUCUAGCGCCCA
Molecule: transfer RNA, 74 nt
Filed under: Patescibacteria group bacterium
Lineage: Bacteria
Description: tRNA-Val
Rfam family: tRNA
About the family: Transfer RNA (tRNA) molecules are approximately 80 nucleotides in length. Their secondary structure includes four short double-helical elements and three loops (D, anti-codon, and T loops).
Source: RNAcentral